This 1374-nucleotide ribosomal RNA is filed under the name Streptomyces sp. Its description in RNAcentral is "bacterial SSU rRNA". It matches the Rfam family "Bacterial small subunit ribosomal RNA". The record is from RNAcentral. Lineage: Bacteria; Bacillati; Actinomycetota; Actinomycetes; Kitasatosporales; Streptomycetaceae.
GUCGAACGAUGAAGCCCUUCGGGGUGGAUUAGUGGCGAACGGGUGAGUAACACGUGGGCAAUCUGCCCUUCACUCUGGGACAAGCCCUGGAAACGGGGUCUAAUACCGGAUAACACUCGCCGAGGCAUCUUGGUGGGUUGAAAGCUCCGGCGGUGAAGGAUGAGCCCGCGGCCUAUCAGCUUGUUGGUGAGGUAGAAGCUCACCAAGGCGACGACGGGUAGCCGGCCUGAGAGGGCGACCGGCCACACUGGGACUGAGACACGGCCCAGACUCCUACGGGAGGCAGCAGUGGGGAAUAUUGCACAAUGGGCGAAAGCCUGAUGCAGCGACGCCGCGUGAGGGAUGACGGCCUUCGGGUUGUAAACCUCUUUCAGCAGGGAAGAAGCGAAAGUGACGGUACCUGCAGAAGAAGCGCCGGCUAACUACGUGCCAGCAGCCGCGGUAAUACGUAGGGCGCAAGCGUUGUCCGGAAUUAUUGGGCGUAAAGAGCUCGUAGGCGGUCUGUCACGUCGGAUGUGAAAGCCCGGGGCUUAACCCCGGGUCUGCAUUCGAUACGGGCAGACUAGAGUGUGGUAGGGGAGAUCGGAAUUCCUGGUGUAGCGGUGAAAUGCGCAGAUAUCAGGAGGAACACCGGUGGCGAAGGCGGAUCUCUGGGCCAUUACUGACGCUGAGGAGCGAAAGCGUGGGGAGCGAACAGGAUUAGAUACCCUGGUAGUCCACGCCGUAAACGGUGGGAACUAGGUGUUGGCGACAUUCCACGUCGUCGGUGCCGCAGCUAACGCAUUAAGUUCCCCGCCUGGGGAGUACGGCCGCAAGGCUAAAACUCAAAGGAAUUGACGGGGGCCCGCACAAGCAGCGGAGCAUGUGGCUUAAUUCGACGCAACGCGAAGAACCUUACCAAGGCUUGACAUCGCCCGGAAAGCAUCAGAGAUGGUGCCCCCCUUGUGGUCGGGUGACAGGUGGUGCAUGGCUGUCGUCAGCUCGUGUCGUGAGAUGUUGGGUUAAGUCCCGCAACGAGCGCAACCCUUGUUCUGUGUUGCCAGCAUGCCCUUCGGGGUGAUGGGGACUCACAGGAGACUGCCGGGGUCAACUCGGAGGAAGGUGGGGACGACGUCAAGUCAUCAUGCCCCUUAUGUCUUGGGCUGCACACGUGCUACAAUGGCAGGUACAAUGAGCUGCGAUGUCGCAAGGCGGAGCGAAUCUCAAAAAGCCUGUCUCAGUUCGGAUUGGGGUCUGCAACUCGACCCCAUGAAGUCGGAGUUGCUAGUAAUCGCAGAUCAGCAUUGCUGCGGUGAAUACGUUCCCGGGCCUUGUACACACCGCCCGUCACAUCACGAAAGUCGGUAACACCCGAAGCCGGUGGCCCAACCCCCU